GCAAUGGAAUGGAUGUGUUUUACAAAGGGAACUCUUUGACAUACAAGAUUAUUGGAGGGGUACUUGAUUUUUACUUCUUUGCAGGACCUACACCUCUGAAUGUUGUUGAUCAGUAUACAUCCUUCAUUGGUAGACCAGCUCCAAUGCCUUAUUGGGCUUUUGGUAUGAUUCACUUUUCAUUGUGUUCAAUAUAUUUUGUGGUCUAUAAGAUUCACUUUCAAUAGUAUUUCUUUGAUGUGUGACACGUCUCGAAUAAGAUUAUUUCGGAAUCUGUGAAACAAAAAAACCAAUUAAUAUAGGUAUAUAUGUGCUGCAGAUAAUGUAAUUAGUACUAUUAUUAAUAUAAUUUUUUUAUGCUGGAUCAAAAUGGCAUAAUAAAUUUUGUGGCCUAACCACAAAAUAAACAUUAGAGUAGAAGGAUUUAGCCAGAGUUCAUCCUAGAGUCAAAUGCAAAUAGAAAAAUAUAAGAUGAAGAAAAUAUUAAAAGUUGCAGGAAAGUAAUGCAGUGGUGCAAAUCUGUCUACAACUUAGGCAAAGCCUAGUAAAUUUCCUAAAAUCUGUCUACUACCUUAAUUGGAUUACUAAUUUAUUUUUAUUGAGGUGAAUAAGUGGAGUGGCCAGGCCGGGGUUCGAACCCCGACUCCUGCACAUAUAGUGCGAUGUCACCAGGACAUUACUAAUUUACUCUUAACUAACAUAAACUUCACCAAAACCUUCUUGCAUUUGACAAAUAUACUCACUUAUUUUAUUUGGUAUAUUUAUAGGAUUCCACCAAUGCAGAUGGGGAUAUCACAACCUAUCUGUGAUAGAAGAUGUUGUUGAGAAUUACAAGAAGGCCAAAAUUCCACUUGAUGUGAUAUGGAAUGAUGAUGAUCACAUGGAUGGACACAAGGACUUCACUGUCAAUCCAAUUAACUAUCCACUUCCAAAGCUUUUAAGCUUUUUGGAGAGAAUACACAACAUUGGCAUGAAAUACAUUGUGAUUAAUGAUCCUGGAAUUGCUGUUAAUACCAAUUAUGGUGUAUACCAAAGGGGUAUAGCUAAUGAUGUUUUUAUCAAACAUGAAGGUGAACCAUUCAUGGCUAUGGUUUGGCCAGGAGCAGUGUACUUUCCUGAUUUUCUCAAUCCUAAAACAGUUUCUUGGUGGGGUGAUGAGAUUCGCCGCUUCCAUGAACUUGUUCCGAUUGAUGGCUUAUGGAUUGAUAUGAACGAAGUUUCAAAUUUCUGCACUGGAAAGUGUACUAUUCCAAAGGAUAGGUUUUGUCCACUUCAAGGUGAAAAAUUACCAAAUUCUACAUGUUGCUUAGAUUGUACAAACAUCACAAGCACAAGAUGGGAUGAUCCUCCUUACAAAAUCAACGCUUCAGGAAAAGAGGUUCCAAUAGGCUACAAAACUAUAGCAACUAGUGCAGUUCAUUAUAAUGGUGUGUUGGAAUAUGAUGCUCAUAGUCUUUUUGGUUUCUCAGAAGCUAUUGCAACACACAAGGCACUUCAUGAACUUCAAGGUAAACGACCGUUUGUUUUGUCUCGUUCGACUUAUGUAGGAUCGGGAAAAUAUGCAGCUCAUUGGACUGGUGACAACAAAGGAACAUGGGAGGAUUUAAGAUAUUCUAUUUCUACUGUCCUCAAUUUUGGAAUAUUUGGCAUGCCAAUGGUUGGUGCAGAUAUAUGUGGUUUCUAUCCAGCACCUACUGAAGAGCUUUGUAAUAGAUGGAUUGAGGUUGGUGCUUUCUAUCCUUUCUCAAGGGAUCAUUCAAGUGUUAUUUCUCCCAGACAAGAACUUUACCAAUGGGAAUCAGUAGCUGAAUCAGCUAGAAAUGCUUUGGGGAUGAGGUAUAAGCUCCUACCCUAUCUAUACACCCUAAACUAUGAGGCUCAUAUUAGUGGAGCCCCAAUUGCUAGGCCACUUUUCUUCUCAUUUCCAAAUUAUAUUCAAUGUUAUGGCCUCAGCACUCAGUUUUUACUCGGAACCAGUUUACUGAUUUCUCCUGUUCUCGAGCAAGGGAAAACAGAAGUUGAAGCGCUCUUUCCUCCGGGAACGUGGUACAGUUUAUUUGAUUUGACACAGGCCAUUGUUUCAAAAGAUGGAAACUAUGUUACCCUUGAUGCACCCUUGCAUGAAAUCAAUGUGCAUUUAUAUCAGAAUACUAUUCUACCAAUGCAACAAGGUGGUAUGGUAUCUAAGGAUGCUAGAAUGACACCUUUUAGUCUCAUCGUGACAUUUCCAGCAGGUUCAAAUGAAGGAGAAGCUAAAGGAAACUUGUUUCUUGAUGAUGAUGAGAUUCCAGAUAUGAAGCUUGGAAAUGGAUAUUCAACCUAUAUUGAUUUCCAUGCAACUGUCAAAGAAGGAAAUGUGACAGUUUGGUCAGAAGUUCAAGAGGGUAAGUUUGCUUUGGAUAAAGGUUUGGUUAUUGACACAAUAAAUGUGUUAGGAUUGAGUUAUGGAAGUGUAGAACUAGUUAGAAUUGAGAUAGAUGAAGAGCCAUCAAUUGGUGUUUCAAAUGUGAAAGUUGGUAUAUCAGAACAUAAGUACUUGUAUAAGCAAGAACAUGGAGAAAAGAAGACAGUGAUGGUUGGAAUGAAGGGAUUGAAUAUCCCUGUAGGUAAAAGAUUUGCUCUUACUUGGAAGAUGGGGUCAUAAGUUUAGAUUGUCUAAUCUUUAUUAUUGGAUCUCAAUGUUAGGUUUCUUGAAUUUUUUUUCCUUUGUUGUUAUCUUCCAUUAUCCUAUCUUUGUGUAAUCAAGCAAGAGAAGUAUUGAAUAACAUUGAGUUUUUGUAAAUUGAUUUUAAGAGAGAGAAAAACAAAAAAGUGUUUGUUGCUUUUUAGUAGUAGUUUUUUUUUUUAUAAGUUUUUUUUUAUAGGUAACCAACAGUUUGCCGUAUCAUGUUUGACCCCAUUAGACGUCGCGAGAUAUCCUCACGGCUUAGACCCUUUGGGUUUGCUAUGUGACUAAUCCUCAAGUCGGUAACGUGACAUCUAUUUUUUUUAUCAAAGCUAGACUAUCUCUCAAAUGAAUGACUCCCAAGAGUAGAACCAAAUUCUUUUCCUAAGAGAAAGUCAUGUUACCAACUCUUCCAACACUUUUUUUUUUUAAUAAAAAUUUGCGAUAAAUAGUUAGUUAUAACUUAUAACAAUAGCUUUUGAAUAAAAGCUUUAUUUCUCAACAUAAUACCCCAAAAAAAAAACUAUAUAUUCAUCACACGACCUUUAUACCAAGUUUUGUUUUUUAGGUACAAACCUUUAUCACACAAGCUUUCAUACAAAGUAGUAGUAAUUUAUAAAACACAAGAGUAUUGAUUCUACAAUUCUAGAAUAAAGCUUCAAAAACAAAAAUGGCUGUAUGAGAUUAUUUUAAACGUUUUUUAUGUAAUGUAAUGAAUCUUUUAUGAAUUCCCUUUUUCAAGAGAGAAAAAUUAUGUAACACGUAAUCUUUAUGAAGUAUGAACCCAACCAAAGUAACAAACCAAUUAAUGAUAAUUGAAAUGAUGCAGUGAAAGAGAUCCAUAUAGAAAGUCAGAAAGAACAUGUUCGAUUUGAUGAAUUGCAUAACUAAACAAAUCGUUAAUUUAUAGGUGCUCAAUCAAUUGAUUGCAUGAAUUCUACAAUCAUAUAUACCUAGCCAAUCUGCAGCAGAACUAAACAUGAACUAUACUAUCCAAUCUACAACUGGGACAUGAUUCACAAAUUAAGGGAAAUCAAUUGUAUUCAUGCAGAUAAAUCAGUGUAAACAAGCAACAAGUUCAUCAGAUAAAUGAUUAUUUCAUUUAAAAUAACUUAUUUCAGCAAACUAAUAUCAAAUAUUUUCAUCAGAUAAUCCUCAAGGCUCAAGCCAUGGUAUAGUAUUAUUACCUAAAACUCUUUUUGAUUUUACAGAGUCCUAAGACGUUGCCUUUAUUACUUAAGGGAAAAAAAAAACAACUAUAAGUGGGUAAUGAGUUACUCCUAGAACGAAUUGUUCGAAAAAAUUCGAGUUCAAUUUCUGAUAAGAACAAAUUUUGGUUAUGGCCGAACUCUGUAUUACCGGAGCCCCUUCUCCUGAUGAUUAAAGGGUUAAUACCGGGGAAAACAAUUAUCUAUCCACUUCAGCAUAUAGGAGAGCACAUGCAUAGAGAAGCUGACUAUACAGAAAAAGUAUGUAGUUUAUUUCCGUACAUUAUUACCACCGCACAAACAUUGGCCUUGUUUGAUGCACACACAACCACCACAGCAAAAUGAGUGCAACUCCAAUGCAAGGUGGGUCUCCACCACAUUACUAAAAGAGAAGAAAGAAUAAGAUAUGAAAUGGCCCACAAUCACUCACAGGUUACAUGAUCCUCCAAAGUCCAAAGUCACGCGUAAGAUAAUGGAUCCAAUGACUCACUUUCUCAUUCCCUCAAUGAAGAUAGAUAAACAACAACACAAAACAGAAAACUAACCAACUUCUCAUUUAUAAAUUAGAACUCACUCAUGUUGCCUUACUCUACAGUGUGCUAAUAUGGCUUCUCUUAAUCCAUUAGUCACUCUUUGUCUAACUUACAUACUUCUAACUUUGUUUCAUUGUGUAGCUCAACAAGCUACUCCUCCAAAGUCCACCAAAAUUGGUCAAGGUUAUCGUUUGAUAUCCAUUGAAGAUGCCCCUAAUGGUGCCAUCACAGGACUCCUUCAAGUUAACGAGAAGAAUGAUAUAUAUGGUCCUGACAUUCCCCUUCUACGCUUCUAUGUCAAGUAAGUCAUACUCAUACACAACAUCAAUAUGAUGUCUUAGAAUCAGGAGUUGGGCCUAACUCAACCCUACAAAACUGGUUUGUGAGGUGAGCAUUGUCCGUUACUUAUAAGCCUAUGUCCAGGUCAAUUCACAUCCAAUGUGGGACUUCUUUAACAUUAUGCAUUUGACUUCUUACUUAACUUUGUUCUUUCAUUUUGUAGGCAUGAGACUGAGAAUCGUUUGAGGGUACACAUAACUGAUGCAAAGAACCAAAGGUGGGAAGUUCCUUAUGAUCUUUUGCCUAGGGAGAAACCACCAACUCUAAAGCAGAACAUUAAGAGGUUGAACAAGAAUUCAAUAUCAGUGUCAGAGUACUCAAGUUCUGAGCUAGUUUUCAGUUACACUCCUGACCCGUUUAGCUUUGCAGUCAAAAGAAAGUCCAAUGGUGAUACCAUAUUUGACUCCAAUUCUAAUGACUCAGACUCAUUUGGUCCAUUGGUCUUCAAAGACCAAUACUUGGAAAUUUCUACCAAAUUGCCAAAAGAUGCUUCUUUGUAUGGUUUAGGAGAGAACACACAGCCUCAUGGGAUAAAGUUGUACCCAAAUGACCCUUAUACUUUGUAUACUACUGAUGUAGCAGCUAUUGUUCUCAAUACUGAUCUAUAUGGUUCUCAUCCUGUAUACAUGGAUCUUAGAAAUGAAGGUGGCAAGCCUUAUGCACAUGGUGUUCUGUUGUUGAAUAGCAAUGGAAUGGAUGUGUUUUACAAAGGGAACUCUUUGACAUACAAGAUUAUUGGAGGGGUACUUGAUUUUUACUUCUUUGCAGGACUUACACCUCUGAAUGUUGUUGAUCAGUACACAUCCUUCAUCGGUAGACCAGCUCCAAUGCCUUAUUGGGCUUUCGGUAUGAUUCACUUUUCACAACCUCAUCAUUGUGAUGCAUAUUCCAUUUAAUAUUUCUACCGUGAUACCAAACAUAGGCUUAGUAUAUUAAAACUCGCC
RNAcentral lists this long non-coding RNA (5686 nucleotides) under Trifolium pratense (red clover). RNAcentral describes it as "long non-coding RNA (TPRA_LNC000019)". Lineage: Eukaryota; Viridiplantae; Streptophyta; Magnoliopsida; Fabales; Fabaceae. The record is from RNAcentral.